Molecule: ribosomal RNA, 445 nt
Filed under: uncultured bacterium
Lineage: Bacteria
Description: bacterial SSU rRNA
Rfam family: Bacterial small subunit ribosomal RNA
Source: RNAcentral
UCCAGACUCCUACGGGAGGCAGCAGUGGGGAAUAUUGCACAAUGGGGGAAACCCUGAUGCAGCGACGCCGCGUGAGUGAAGAAGUAUUUCGGUAUGUAAAGCUCUAUCAGCAGGGAAGAAAAUGACGGUACCUGAUUAAGAAGCCCCGGCUAACUACGUGCCAGCAGCCGCGGUAAUACGUAGGGGGCAAGCGUUAUCCGGAUUUACUGGGUGUAAAGGGAGCGUAGACGGUGAUGCAAGUCAGAAGUGAAAGCCCGGGGCUCAACUCCGGGACUGCUUUUGAAACUGUGUGACUGGAGUGCAGGAGAGGUAAGCGGAAUUCCUGGUGUAGCGGUGAAAUGCGUAGAUAUUAGGAGGAACACCAGUGGCGAAGGCGGCCUGCUGGACGAUGACUGACGUUGAGGCUCGAAAGCGUGGGGAGCAAACAGGAUUAGAUACCCCCGUA